Long non-coding RNA from Spinacia oleracea (spinach), 342 nucleotides. RefSeq lists it as uncharacterized. Lineage: Eukaryota; Viridiplantae; Streptophyta; Magnoliopsida; Caryophyllales; Amaranthaceae. The record is from RefSeq and is a predicted model, not a curated record. The transcript has 3 exons.
UCAGAUUCAUGAAGUUUUACUCAACUUCCAGGGCAUACCAAGUUGUGCUCAACAAGUCGGCGCCCGCGAGUGUGGCUAUUACGUUAUGAAGUUCAUGCAUGAAAUAGUCACGUUACACCAUAACUCUGAUGAGCGGUUAGAUAAUGCUUACACUCCAAGAAAUGCGCCUUAUACCGAUGAGGAAAUAGAUGUGGUUCGUGAGCAAUGGGCUAAGUUUUUUACAACCGAGUAUUUAUUUACUUAGGUUGUUUAGACACAAAGAUGGAAGCGUUUAUAUCUUCAUGGAUUUGGUAAAGUUCUUUAAUUUUUCCAUAAUUACAAGUCUGCUGGAUUUGCUAAUUU